Molecule: ribosomal RNA, 1068 nt
Filed under: Alicyclobacillus sp. enrichment culture clone MRT18-16
Lineage: Bacteria; Bacillati; Bacillota; Bacilli; Caryophanales; Alicyclobacillaceae
Description: bacterial SSU rRNA
Rfam family: Bacterial small subunit ribosomal RNA
Source: RNAcentral
CUCCUACGGGAGGCAGCAGUAGGGAAUCUUCCGCAAUGGGCGCAAGCCUGACGGAGCAACGCCGCGUGAGUGAGGGAGGCCUUCGGGUUGUAAAACUCAGUCACCUGGGAAGAGAGGUAUGGGGAGUGGAAUGCCCCAUACGAGACGGUACCAGGGGAGGAAGCCCCGGCUAACUACGUGCCAGCAGCCGCGGUAAUACGUAGGGGGCAAGCGUUGUCCGGAAUCACUGGGCGUAAAGCGUGCGUAGGCGGUCUUUCAAGUCCGGGGUGAAAACUCAAGGCUCAACCUUGAGAAUGCCUUGGAAACUGGGGGACUUGAGUACUGGAGAGGCAAGGGGAAUUCCACGUGUAGCGGUGAAAUGCGUAGAGAUGUGGAGGAAUACCAGUGGCGAAGGCGCCUUGCUGGACAGUGACUGACGCUGAGGCACGAAAGCGUGGGGAGCAAACAGGAUUAGAUACCCUGGUAGUCCACGCCGUAAACGAUGAGUGCUAGGUGUUGGGGGUUCAUCCCCUCAGUGCCGAAGGAAACCCAAUAAGCACUCCGCCUGGGGAGUACGGUCGCAAGACUGAAACUCAAAGGAAUUGACGGGGGCCCGCACAAGCAGUGGAGCAUGUGGUUUAAUUCGAAGCAACGCGAAGAACCUUACCAGGGCUUGACAUCCCUCUGACCGGUUCAGAGAUGGACCUUCCCUUCGGGGCAGAGGAGACAGGUGGUGCAUGGUUGUCGUCAGCUCGUGUCGUGAGAUGUUGGGUUAAGUCCCGCAACGAGCGCAACCCUUGACCUGUGUUACCAGCACGUAAUGGUGGGGACUCACAGGUGACUGCCGGCGUAAGCCGGAGGAAGGUGGGGAUGACGUCAAAUCAUCAUGCCCUUUAUGUCCUGGGCUACACACGUGCUACAAUGGGCGGUACAACGGGAAGCGAGACCGCGAGGUGGAGCGAAACCCAAAAAGCCGUUCGUAGUUCGGAUUGCAGGCUGCAACCCGCCUGCAUGAAGCCGGAAUUGCUAGUAAUCGCGGAUCAGCAUGCCGCGGUGAAUCCGUUCCCGGGCCUUGCACACACCGCCCGU